RNAcentral lists this transfer RNA (71 nucleotides) under Camelus bactrianus (Bactrian camel). It matches the Rfam family "tRNA". From Rfam's summary of the family: Transfer RNA (tRNA) molecules are approximately 80 nucleotides in length. Lineage: Eukaryota; Metazoa; Chordata; Mammalia; Artiodactyla; Camelidae. The record is from Rfam by way of RNAcentral. RNAcentral also lists the same sequence under 1 other name.
GGGGCUGUAGCUCAGUGGUAGAGUGUUAGCCUAGUAUGCAUGAGGUCCUGGGUCAAUACCCAGUACCUUCA